GACGAACGCUGGCGGCGUGCUUAACACAUGCAAGUCGAACGGAAAGGCCCUGCUUUUGUGGGGUGCUCGAGUGGCGAACGGGUGAGUAACACGUGAGUAACCUGCCCUUGACUUUGGGAUAACUUCUGGAAACUGGGGCUAAUACCGGAUAGGAGCUCCUGCUGCAUGGUGGGGGUUGGAAAGUUUCGGCGGUUGGGGAUGGACUCGCGGCUUAUCAGCUUGUUGGUGGGGUAGUGGCUUACCAAGGCUUUGACGGGUAGCCGGCCUGAGAGGGUGACCGGCCACAUUGGGACGGAGAUACGGCCCAGACUCCUACGGGAGGCAACAGUGGGGAAUAUUGCACAAUGGGCGGAAGCCUGAUGCAGCAACGCCGCGUGCGGGAUGACGGCCUUCGGGUUGUAAACCGCUUUCGCCUGUGACGAAGCGUGAGUGACGGUAAUGGGUAAAGAAGCACCGGCUAACUACGU
RNAcentral lists this ribosomal RNA (467 nucleotides) under uncultured bacterium. RNAcentral's name for it is "partial 16S ribosomal RNA". It matches the Rfam family "Bacterial small subunit ribosomal RNA", at positions 28 to 506 of the family's 1533-position model. The record is from RNAcentral.